AAACUAGGAUUAGAUACCCUAUUAUUUAAAAUGUAAAUAAUAAAGCUAAGGUAGUAGUAGUUAUGUUCUUGAAACUUAAAAAAUUUGGCGGUAUUUUAGUCUAUUCAGAGGAACCUGUUCUGUAAUCGAUAAUCCACGAUGGACCUUACUUAAGUUUGUAAUCAGUUUAUAUACCGUCGUUAUUAGAAUAUUUUACAAGAAUGUUAAUUUUCUAAAUUUUUUUAAGAAAGUAUAUCAGAUCAAGGUGUAGCUAAUAUUUAAGUAGAAAUGGGUUACAAUAAAUUUAUUUAUACGGAUAUAAAUUUGAAAUAUUUAUUGAAGGUGGAUUUGAUAGUAAAAUUAUAAAGAUAAAU
Molecule: ribosomal RNA, 353 nt
Filed under: Wohlfahrtia magnifica
Lineage: Eukaryota; Metazoa; Arthropoda; Insecta; Diptera; Sarcophagidae
Description: partial small subunit ribosomal RNA
Source: RNAcentral